GAUAAGGAGCUUGCUCCUUUGACGUUAGCGGCGGACGGGUGAGUAACACGUGGGUAACCUACCUAUAAGACUGGGAUAACUUCGGGAAACCGGAGCUAAUACCGGAUAACAUUUGGAACCGCAUGGUUCUAAAGUGAAAGAUGGUUUUGCUAUCACUUAUAGAUGGACCCGCGCCGUAUUAGCUAGUUGGUAAGGUAACGGCUUACCAAGGCGACGAUACGUAGCCGACCUGAGAGGGUGAUCGGCCACA
This 250-nucleotide ribosomal RNA is filed under the name Staphylococcus saprophyticus. RNAcentral describes it as "partial 16S ribosomal RNA". It matches the Rfam family "Bacterial small subunit ribosomal RNA", at positions 70 to 312 of the family's 1533-position model. Lineage: Bacteria; Bacillati; Bacillota; Bacilli; Caryophanales; Staphylococcaceae. The record is from RNAcentral.